This 66-nucleotide small RNA is filed under the name Salmonella enterica subsp. enterica serovar Oranienburg. Its description in RNAcentral is "partial RtT sRNA". It matches the Rfam family "RtT RNA", at positions 1 to 65 of the family's 130-position model. Rfam says of the family: This family represents a bacterial cis-regulatory element known as RtT RNA. Lineage: Bacteria; Pseudomonadati; Pseudomonadota; Gammaproteobacteria; Enterobacterales; Enterobacteriaceae. The record is from RNAcentral. RNAcentral also lists the same sequence under 3 other names.
AUAUCUCUCUGUACGGGAAGGAUGAGAAGCUUCGACUAAGGUUCGAUUCGAGCGAAAGCGAGAAAG